CUAAUGUUGAAAAAUUAGCGGAUGACUUGUGGCUGGGGGUGAAAGGCCAAUCAAACCGGGAGAUAGCUGGUUCUCCCCGAAAGCUAUUUAGGUAGCGCCUCGUGAACUCAUCUCCGGGGGUAGAGCACUGUUUCGGCAAGGGGGUCAUCCCGACUUACCAACCCGAUGCAAACUGCGAAUACCGGAGAAUGUUAUCACGGGAGACACACGGCGGGUGCUAACGUCCGUCGUGAAGAGGGAAACAACCCAGACCGCCAGCUAAGGUCCCAAAGUCAUGGUUAAGUGGGAAACGAUGUGGGAAGGCCCAGACAGCCAGGAUGUUGGCUUAGAAGCAGCCAUCAUUUAAAGAAAGCGUAAUAGCUCACUGGUCGAGUCGGCCUGCGCGGAAGAUGUAACGGGGCUAAACCAUGCACCGAAGCUGCGGCAGCGACGCUUAUGCGUUGUUGGGUAGGGGAGCGUUCUGUAAGCCUGUGAAGGUGUGCUGUGAGGCAUGCUGGAGGUAUCAGAAGUGCGAAUGCUGACAUAAGUAACGAUAAAGCGGGUGAAAAGCCCGCUCGCCGGAAGACCAAGGGUUCCUGUCCAACGUUAAUCGGGGCAGGGUGAGUCGACCCCUAAGGCGAGGCCGAAAGGCGUAGUCGAUGGGAAACAGGUUAAUAUUCCUGUACUUGGUGUUACUGCGAAGGGGGGACGGAGAAGGCUAUGUUGGCCGGGCGACGGUUGUCCCGGUUUAAGCGUGUAGGCUGGUUUUCCAGGCAAAUCCGGAAAAUCAAGGCUGAGGCGUGAUGACGAGGCACUACGGUGCUGAAGCAACAAAUGCCCUGCUUCCAGGAAAAGCCUCUAAGCAUCAGGUAACAUCAAAUCGUACCCCAAACCGACACAGGUGGUCAGGUAGAGAAUACCAAGGCGCUUGAGAGAACUCGGGUGAAGGAACUAGGCAAAAUGGUGCCGUAACUUCGGGAGAAGGCACGC
RNAcentral lists this ribosomal RNA (969 nucleotides) under Escherichia coli. RNAcentral's name for it is "partial 23S ribosomal RNA". It matches the Rfam family "Bacterial large subunit ribosomal RNA", at positions 783 to 1751 of the family's 2925-position model. Lineage: Bacteria; Pseudomonadati; Pseudomonadota; Gammaproteobacteria; Enterobacterales; Enterobacteriaceae. The record is from RNAcentral.